CCAGACUCCUACGGGAGGCAGCAGUGGGGGAUAUUGCACAAUGGGGGGAACCCUGAUGCAGCGACGCCGCGUGGGUGAAGAAGCGCCUCGGCGCGUAAAGCCCUGUCAGCAGGGAAGAAAAUGACGGUACCUGACUAAGAAGCCCCGGCUAACUACGUGCCAGCAGCCGCGGUAAUACGUAGGGGGCAAGCGUUAUCCGGAUUUACUGGGUGUAAAGGGAGCGUAGACGGCUGUGCAAGCCAGAUGUGAAAGCCCGGGGCUCAACCCCGGGACUGCAUUUGGAACUGUGUGGCUGGAGUGUCGGAGAGGCAGGCGGAAUUCCUAGUGUAGCGGUGAAAUGCGUAGAUAUUAGGAGGAACACCAGUGGCGAAGGCGGUCUGCUGGACAGCAACUGACGCUGAGGCGCGGAAGCGUGGGGAGCAAACAGGAUUAGAUACCCCUGUAC
Molecule: ribosomal RNA, 445 nt
Filed under: uncultured bacterium
Lineage: Bacteria
Description: bacterial SSU rRNA
Rfam family: Bacterial small subunit ribosomal RNA
Source: RNAcentral